This 809-nucleotide ribosomal RNA is filed under the name uncultured Acidobacteriota bacterium. RNAcentral's name for it is "bacterial SSU rRNA". It matches the Rfam family "Bacterial small subunit ribosomal RNA", at positions 8 to 796 of the family's 1533-position model. The record is from RNAcentral. Lineage: Bacteria; Pseudomonadati; Acidobacteriota.
AGAGUUUGAUCAUGGCUCAGAAUCAACGCUGGCGGCGUGCCUAACACAUGCAAGUCGAACGCGAAAGGGGCUUCGGCCCUGAGUAGAGUGGCGAACGGGUGAGUAACACGUGGGUGAUCUACCUUCGAGUGGGGGAUAACGUCCCGAAAGGGACGCUAAUACCGCAUGACGUUCUGGGUUUGAAGACCUGGAAACCAAAGCUGGGGACCGCAAGGCCUGGCGCUAGAAGAGGAGCCCGCGCCUGAUUAGCUAGUUGGCGGGGUAAUGGCCCACCAAGGCGACGAUCAGUAGCCGGCCUGAGAGGGCGGACGGCCACACUGGGACUGAGACACGGCCCAGACUCCUACGGGAGGCAGCAGUGGGGAAUUGCUCGCAAUGGGCGCAAGCCUGACGACGCAACGCCGCGUGGAGGAUGAAGGCCUUCGGGUCGUAAACUCCUGUUGAUCGGGAAGAAUGGGCUCCGGGUAAAUAUCCCGGAGCAGUGACGGUACCGAUUGAGGAAGCCACGGCUAACUCUGUGCCAGCAGCCGCGGUAAUACGUAGGGGGCAAGCGUUGUCCGGAUUUACUGGGCGUAAAGCGCGUGUAGGUGGUACAGUAAGUCUGCUGUGAAAGCGCCCGGCUCAACUGGGCGAGGUCGGUGGAAACUGCUGAACUAGAGGACGGUAGAGGAGAGUGGAAUUCCCGGUGUAGUGGUGAAAUGCGUAGAUAUCGGGAGGAACACCAGCGGCGAAGGCGGCUCUCUGGGCCGCUCCUGACACUGAGACGCGAAGGCCAGGGGAGCGAACGGGAUUAGAUACCCCGGUAGUCC